RNAcentral lists this ribosomal RNA (820 nucleotides) under uncultured bacterium. Its description in RNAcentral is "bacterial SSU rRNA". It matches the Rfam family "Bacterial small subunit ribosomal RNA", at positions 47 to 916 of the family's 1533-position model. The record is from RNAcentral.
CCUAACACAUGCAAGUCGAACGCAGUAGCAAUACUGAGUGGCAGACGGGUGAGUAACAUGUGGGAAUCUGCCUUGUGGUUCAGGACAACAUUGGGAAACCGAUGCUAAUACUGGAUAAGCCCUUACGGGGAAAGUUUUAAUGCCAUAAGAUGAGCCCGCAUUUGAUUAGUUAGUUGGUGAGGUAAUGGCUCACCAAGACAAUGAUCAAUAGCUGAUCUGAGAGGAUGAUCAGCCACACUGGGACUGAGACACGGCCCAGACUCCUACGGGAGGCAGCAGUGGGGAAUCUUGCACAAUGGAGGAAACUCUGAUGCAGCGAUGCCGCGUGAGUGAAGAAGGCCUUUGGGUUGUAAAGCUCUUUUGUAGGGGAAGAUAAUGACUGUACCCUAAGAAUAAGGUCCGGCUAACUUCGUGCCAGCAGCCGCGGUAAUACGAAGGGACCUAGCGUAGUUCGGAAUUACUGGGCGUAAAGCGCGCGUAGGCCGUUGAGUUAGUUAAUUGUGAAAUCCCAAAGCUUAACUUUGGAACUGCAAUUAAAACUGCUCGACUAGAGUUUGAUAGAGGAAAGCGGAAUACAUAGUGUAGAGGUGAAAUUCGUAGAUAUUAUGUAGAACACCAGUUGCGAAGGCGGCUUUCUGGAUCAACACUGACGCUGAGGCGCGAAAGUAUGGGUAGCAAAGAGGAUUAGAUACCCUCGUAGUCCAUACCAUAAACGAUGAUUGCUAGAUGUUGGAAAUUUAUUUUCAGUAUCGCAGCUAACGCAUUAAGCAAUCCGCCUGGGGAGUACGACCGCAAGGUUAAAACUCAAAUGAAUUGACGG